UUCAGAUAAUGGCAAACCUAUCGAAAGAUAGGGACGCAAAGCUAAAGGGCCUUCCAGAUCGGGUGGCAGCCAGUUACCGGA
RNAcentral lists this non-coding RNA (81 nucleotides) under Paenibacillus sp. RNAcentral describes it as "c-di-GMP sequence". It matches the Rfam family "c-di-GMP-I riboswitch aptamer". Rfam says of the family: GEMM was predicted in a large-scale screen for bacterial structured RNA regulatory elements. Genes associated with GEMM are involved in a diverse array of functions, including chemotaxis regulation, signal transduction, secretion and chitin. Lineage: Bacteria; Bacillati; Bacillota; Bacilli; Caryophanales; Paenibacillaceae. The record is from RNAcentral.